This 238-nucleotide ribosomal RNA is filed under the name uncultured bacterium. Its description in RNAcentral is "partial 16S ribosomal RNA". It matches the Rfam family "Bacterial small subunit ribosomal RNA", at positions 96 to 334 of the family's 1533-position model. The record is from RNAcentral.
CGGCGGACGGGUGAGUAACGCGUGGGUAACCUACCCUGUACACACGGAUAACAUACCGAAAGGUAUGCUAAUACGGGAUAAUAUAUUUGAGAGGCAUCUCUUAAAUAUCAAAGGUGAGCCAGUACAGGAUGGACCCGCGUCUGAUUAGCUAGUUGGUAAGGUAACGGCUUACCAAGGCGACGAUCAGUAGCCGACCUGAGAGGGUGAUCAGCCACAUUGGAACUGAGACACGGUCCAA